Molecule: transfer RNA, 64 nt
Filed under: Navicula sp. RCC3092
Lineage: Eukaryota; Bacillariophyta; Bacillariophyceae; Naviculales; Naviculaceae
Source: RNAcentral
AGAGCGCCUCCGGGAGCCAUGAUCUACGGCAAGCUGUUGCUCGGAGGCGUCACCAGGUUCCGCU